GGGUUGUGAGGUUAAGCAAUUAAGCGUACACGGUGGAUGCCUAGGCAGUCAGAGGCGAUGAAGGACGCGCUAAUCUGCGAAAAGCGUCGGUAAGCUGAUAUGAAGCGUUAUAAGCCGGCGAUGUCCGAAUGGGGAAACCCAGUGCAAUGCGUUGCACUAUCAUUAACUGAAUCCAUAGGUUAAUGAGGCGAACCGGGGGAACUGAAACAUCUCAGUACCCCGAGGAAAAGAAAUCAACCGAGAUUCCCCCAGUAGCGGCGAGCGAACGGGGAGGAGCCCAGAACCUGCAUCAGCCACAGCAUCAGAGGAACGGUCUGGAAAGGCCGGCGAGAGAGGGUGACAGCCCCGUACUCGAAGAUGGCGUGGUUGUGAGUUCGAUGAGUAAGGCGGGACACGAGAAAUCCUGUCUGAAGAAGGGGGGACCAUCCUCCAAGGCUAAAUACUCCUGACUGACCGAUAGUGAACCAGUACCGUGAGGGAAAGGCGAAAAGAACCCCGGCGAGGGGAGUGAAAGAGAACCUGAAACCGUGUACGUACAAGCAGUGGGAGCCUUGAUGAAUCAGGGUGACUGCGUACCUUUUGUAUAAUGGGUCAGCGACUUAUAUUCUGUAGCAAGGUUAACCGAAUAGGGGAGCCGCAGGGAAACCGAGUCUUAACUGGGCGAAAUGAGUUGCAGGGUAUAGACCCGAAACCCGGUGAGCUAGCCAUGGGCAGGUUGAAGGUUGGGUAACACUAACUGGAGGACCGAACCGACUAAUGUUGAAAAAUUAGCGGAUGACUUGUGGCUGGGGGUGAAAGGCCAAUCAAACCGGGAGAUAGCUGGUUCUCCCCGAAAGCUAUUUAGGUAGCGCCUCGUGAGUUCAUCUUCGGGGGUAGAGCACUGUUUCGGCUAGGGGGCCAUCCCGGCUUACCAACCCGAUGCAAACUGCGAAUACCGAAGAAUGUCAUCACGGGAGACACACGGCGGGUGCUAACGUCCGUCGUGAAGAGGGAAACAACCCAGACCGCCAGCUAAGGUCCCGAAGUCAUGGUUAAGUGGGAAACGAUGUGGGAAGGCCCAGACAGCCAGGAUGUUGGCUUAGAAGCAGCCAUCAUUGAAAGAAAGCGUAAUAGCUCACUGGUCGAGUCGGCCUGCGCGGAAGAUGUAACGGGGCUAAACCAUGCGCCGAAGCUGCGGCAUUCAGAGGACAGAUUUCAGAAGACAGAGGACGGAAUGAUGUCAUAUGGAUUCGAGCAAUUGGACGUGUUUAAGAAAGCUUAUCGAAUUUCGUUAGAAAUUCAUCAGGUGAGUUUGACAUUUCCUCAGUACGAACAAUAUGGAUUAGCGGACCAGGUCGGGCGGGCAAGUAAGGGCAUUUGCGCCAACCUUGCCGAGGGCUUUGGUAAGCAGCAUUAUUCCAAACCCGAGUUCAGGCGUUUCAUUAGUAUAGCCUUAGGCAGUGCCGAUGAGAUGCGUGUAUGGUUAAGAUAUUGUCUGGAUUUGGGCUAUAUCAAUCGGGUUCAGUGGCAGGAAUGGCGCGAUGGCUAUGAAGAGAUAGCGAAAAUGCUGACUGGACUGGGGCGGCGUCUGUAAGCUGUAUUCUGACGUCUGUUCUCUGAAUGGGUAGGGGAGCGUUCUGUAAGCCGUUGAAGGCGGCGCCGUGGAGGCCUGCUGGAGGUAUCAGAAGUGCGAAUGCUGACAUAAGUAACGAUAAAGCGGGUGAAAAAACCCGCUCGCCGGAAGACCAAGGGUUCCUGUCCAACGUUAAUCGGGGCAGGGUGAGUCGACCCCUAAGGCGAGGCCGAACGGCGUAGCUGAUGGGAAACAGGUUAAUAUUCCUGUACUGAAUGUGACUGCGAAGGGGGGACGGAGAAGGCUAGGCCAUCCGGGCGACGGUCGUCCCGGUUUAAGCGUGUAGGUGGGAGGAGCAGGCAAAUCCGCUCUUCUUUUAACACUGAGGCGUGAUGACGAGCCGCUACGGCGGUGAAGUGGUUGAUGCCCGGCUUCCAGGAAAAGCCUCUAAGCAUCAGGUGACAUUGAAUCGUACCCCAAACCGACACAGGUGGUCAGGUAGAGAAUACUCAGGCGCUUGAGAGAACUCGGGUGAAGGAACUAGGCAAAAUGGUGCCGUAACUUCGGGAGAAGGCACGCUGGCGUUAGGUGAAGGGGUUGCCCCCGGAGCCGAAGCCAGUCGCAGAGACCAGCUGGCUGCAACUGUUUAUUAAAAACACAGCACUGUGCCAACACGUAAGUGGACGUAUACGGGUGUGACGCCUGCCCGGUGCUGGAAGGUUAAUUGAUGGGUUAGCCGUUAAGGCGACGCUCUUGAUCGAAGCCCAGUAAACGGCGGCC
Molecule: ribosomal RNA, 2332 nt
Filed under: Photorhabdus luminescens subsp. luminescens
Lineage: Bacteria; Pseudomonadati; Pseudomonadota; Gammaproteobacteria; Enterobacterales; Morganellaceae
Description: bacterial LSU rRNA
Rfam family: Bacterial large subunit ribosomal RNA
Source: RNAcentral